AUAAAUGCAGGGUCACUGAUCUCAAAUAAAAGCUGUUCUCAAUUGUGCCAACUGUUCUUCUCCCAACCCUCAUCACUCACAGUGACUCAAUAAUGUGGCUGGUGAAAAACAAAACUGAAGAGCAGGAAUUUCAUUCAUUACCACACAUCUGUUUUCUGACAGAGUAAAUAGUAUACUCCAUGCCCUCUCACCCUUAAGAGCCACCAUCUCCAAAACAUUUUUAUAGCUUCAUUUGGUUUAAAUGACUUUGAGUUGGCUCUUCCAUGGAAGCAUAGCAGCACUGGUCUUCAAGUAUUCCUGCAUCAUAAACUGCUGGCUGAAUUGCCUUAUUCUGUUCCUCUCCACAACCUUUGAAUUAAAUUGU
This 364-nucleotide long non-coding RNA is filed under the name Homo sapiens (human). RNAcentral's name for it is "HSALNT0009063". The record is from RNAcentral. Lineage: Eukaryota; Metazoa; Chordata; Mammalia; Primates; Hominidae.